This 159-nucleotide non-coding RNA is filed under the name uncultured Eubacterium sp. Lineage: Bacteria; Bacillati; Bacillota; Clostridia; Eubacteriales; Eubacteriaceae. The record is from RNAcentral.
GGUGUUAUUUUACUUAAUAAAGGAAGUCAGGUUAAAGGCCUGCGCGGUACCGCCACUGUAAGUGAUGAGCCGCUCUCGUAUACCAUUGAAGGUUUAUUCCUUUGAGAAGGUGAGAGUAAGGUGUUGAUCCACGAGCCAGGAGACUUGCCCGAGAGUUUA